Molecule: long non-coding RNA, 747 nt
Filed under: Rattus norvegicus (Norway rat)
Lineage: Eukaryota; Metazoa; Chordata; Mammalia; Rodentia; Muridae
Description: long non-coding RNA NONRATT023169
Source: RNAcentral
AACGACUAAUACAGAGAUGACUGGUCUCCUCAUGUCGAUGAGGGUUAGGCCAUGUUGAGCCUUGAAUGUUCUUUCUGGGACAUCAGUUACCCUUUAUGUACCUACACCUCCAUAUUCAUCAUUUUCCUACUUGCCUGGCAAAUAAGACGGAGUUGCCAGAGACUGAGUUUGGAACCUAAAAAGAGCUGCUACCGGGUAGGAAAACGCUGAGUGUAAUUGAACUACCUUAAGCCUAGGCAUCACCGAAAAGUCAGGCAAAGGGCUAGAGAUGCAGCAGCAAGAGCCAGGAGACUUUCCCGAGAAGAAGCUGAGAAGCCGUGGGAGCUGCUCUCUGCCUUGAAAAGCCAAAGCUGGAUCCCCAAGGAGGGAAGUGUGCGGCAGCUCCUGUGUUUAGAUCCCGGCUGCCAAAUCUGUGAGGCUGCAACUCUAGAGAUUCGGCAGUUGCUGCAGAGUGAGAAAAACCAGCUCUCCCCUGCUUUGUUGGGACUGCCACAGGGCUCUGCUUGCCUGGAGAUGUCGCCCAUGUCCUUUCAACAGAAUACAGAGUUUCAUUCCAGGCACCAAAGAAGACAUCUUCCACUGGUACCUGAAAACCAAGCACUAACAGAGCUAACAGAACACCUAACACAGUUGUCCAACACAGUUGGUGUCCAAGAAUACUGGACUGAUCAACUCCAGCUAGAGCAGAAAUUGCAUCUGGCCGACAUGCCCAUGGUCUCAGAGACUAUGGCUUCAUCAAGAUUCGAG